UACUGCAUUUUUUCUUACACAUGUGUUUUUCUUUUUUUGAAAACUUUGCUUUGGUAGGCUCUAUAUGGGGCCUGCCAGAGAUUAAACUCAACCAAAUUUUAUUUAAUGUCAACCGAUUAUUUAAUAGUCAAAACUUUCAACAACGGAUCUCUUGGUUCUCGCAUCGAUGAAGAACGCAGCGAAAUGCGAUAAGUAAUAUGAAUUGCAGAUAUUCGUGAAUCAUCGAAUCUUUGAACGCACAUUGCGCCCUUUGGUAUUCCAAAGGGCAUGCCUGUUUGAGCGUCAUUUCUCCCUCAAACCCUCGGGUUUGGUGUUGAGCGAUACGCUGGGUUUGCUUGAAAGAAAGGCGGAGUAUAAACUAAUGGAUAGGUUUUUUCCACUCAUUGGUACAAACUCCAAAACUUCUUCCAAAUUCGACCUCAAAUCAGGUAGGACUACCCGCUGAACUUAAGCAUAUCAAUAAGCGGAGG
Molecule: ribosomal RNA, 470 nt
Filed under: Lodderomyces parapsilosis
Lineage: Eukaryota; Fungi; Ascomycota; Pichiomycetes; Serinales; Debaryomycetaceae
Description: eukaryotic LSU rRNA
Rfam family: 5.8S ribosomal RNA (bases 132-285)
Source: RNAcentral